RNAcentral lists this ribosomal RNA (468 nucleotides) under uncultured bacterium. RNAcentral describes it as "partial 16S ribosomal RNA". It matches the Rfam family "Bacterial small subunit ribosomal RNA", at positions 28 to 507 of the family's 1533-position model. The record is from RNAcentral.
GACGAACGCUGGCGGCGUGCUUAACACAUGCAAGUCGAACGGAAAGGCCCUGCUUUUGUGGGGUGCUCGAGUGGCGAACGGGUGAGUAACACGUGAGUAACCUGCCCUUGACUUUGGGAUAACUUCAGGAAACUGGGGCUAAUACCGGAUAGGAGCUCCUGCUGCAUGGUGGGGGUUGGAAAGUUUCGGCGGUUGGGGAUGGACUCGCGGCUUAUCAGCUUGUUGGUGGGGUAGUGGCUUACCCAGGCUUUGACGGGUAGCCGGCCUGAGAGGGUGACCGGCCACAUUGGGACUGAGCUACGGCCCAGACUCCUACGGGAGGCAGCAGUGGGGAAUAUUGCACAAUGGGCGGAAGCCUGAUGCAGCAACGCCGCGUGCGGGAUGACGGCCUUCGGGUUGUAAACCGCUUUCGCCUGUGACGAAGCGUGAGUGACGGUAAUGGGUAAAGAAGCACCGGCUAACUACGUG